AUGACCGGGGGCAAGGGCAGCGUGCGCAGGGUGAUCGACGAGGACUACUGCGGCCCGAUGGGAGUCGUGCUCUUCAACUACUCAGAGGCAGACUUCACCGUGAAGCCCCGCGACCGCGUCAUACAGAUUAUUGUCCAGGUGAUUGCGACGUAG
This 153-nucleotide ribosomal RNA is filed under the name Triticum aestivum (bread wheat). RNAcentral describes it as "partial small subunit ribosomal RNA". Lineage: Eukaryota; Viridiplantae; Streptophyta; Magnoliopsida; Poales; Poaceae. The record is from RNAcentral.